Beta vulgaris subsp. vulgaris (sugar beet) is the source of this 2218-nucleotide long non-coding RNA. RefSeq lists it as uncharacterized. NCBI's taxonomy places the organism in Eukaryota, Viridiplantae, Streptophyta, Magnoliopsida, Caryophyllales, Amaranthaceae. The record is from RefSeq and is a predicted model, not a curated record. The transcript has 2 exons.
UUCAGCCUUGAUCCGGCCCGUUUGUAAGAGGGCUUCGGAGGGUUGGGUUCAAAAAGGUCCGGGCUAUAAACGGGUUGUAUGGGAAAUAUGGUGGGGUGGGCUUAAAUAAGGUUGAAGAAAGGGCUCUCUCUUAUUUCCUCUUAUCAUCUGACUCUCUCUCUCCUUCCCAAAAAAAUGUAGAGUUGGCUGCCAUCAAGCUGCUUCUUCAUCUUCAAUCUGAUUUUUUUUUCUCUCUUUUCGUUGCUUGCUUCUUCAUCUUCAAUCUGAUUUUUUUUUUAUUUUCUCUCUCUUCGUUGCUUGCUUCUUCAUCUUCAAUCUGAUUUUUUUUAUUUUCUCUCUCUUCGUUGUUUGCUUCUUCAUCUUCAAUCUGAUUUUUUUUUAUUUUCUCUCUCUUCGCUGCUUGCUUCUUCAUCUUCCUCUUCCAUUUCUUUUUUCUUUUGUAAAUUUGGGAUUUUUUUUAUGAUACAAAAACAAUUUUUUCAAAAGGUCUGGGAGUUUUAAUCGUAGGUGUUAAUUAAAUUUAUUUAUUUAUUGUUUUGAUUGAGGUGAAUUUGUGCCUUUUAAUUAGUACCUCUAAUUUGACAUACUUUGUAAUUUUACAGUAAAUGAAAAGUUUGAGAAGUUUACUAACACCUUUGCAAUAUUCUUGAAAUGGGCUCGGGUUGGGCCGGGUCUCACGGGCUUCGACCCGGCCAGGCUCGUUGCUGUUUAAACUAUAGCCCGUCCCGACCCAACCCAUCUCACUUCAGCCCGGCCCGGCCUGAACCCGGCCCGUUGAACAGUCCUAUUUUAGAGGAAGUAGAACUUCUUAGGAAGUGCAAAUUCCCAGGGUUUUGUCAACCAAACAACUUCAUAUAUUUCUACUUCCUAGGAAUUUGCACUUCCCAUGAUUUGUUUUGUCAACCAAACAAGACCUCAUUUGUAAAAGAUCUCUCAUGCAUUAACGAUCCAUUUGUUAAUUGGUUAUAAAAUAGUGGUAAUAAGAAUUAAUUUGUAUAUAAAUUUGUAAAAAUGAUUAUUGUUUAUUUUCAUGUUAAUGCUAUUUAUCCUAUAAUGUAACACCACGUAAUUUUCACUCAUUAUUUUUGGUGUUGUCUACAUUAAAAUGACAUUUUCUAUUAAAAUAAAAUAAUUUAUUAUUAAAAACUAUUUUUUUUAAGUGUAUAAUUAUUUAUAUUGUGUUAUGUUGUUGUGAUUAUUGAUUUAUAGUGUAUAUAAUGUGCGUAUUUAUUUUAUCAUAUAGUUAGUAAUUCGAUAAAUUUAGGUAGCGUGUGAUUUUAGUUUUUAAGUGUUGUAUAUAGUAUGGGUCGACCAACAUAAAGAAUUCUUUAUCCUUCUUAUGUUGUCCAAAAUUUUAGAGGAGAACUAUUAAGCAUAGUAUUAGCAUCUUCUAUCUAUCCCUCUUUGUAACCACCAAAAGGUGAAGAGCCAUUCCCCCCAUUAACCCAUCUUAAUGCAAUUAAACCUUUGCUUAUAAUAUGAACCAUCUCAUCAUUUUUUUUUUGCUGCACUAAAACAAAAACUCCCUUCACGCCACCUUCUCCCUUCUCGCAUUUUCGGCCAUUUCUGCACACCAAUCUUGUUUGCCUCAUAUCUCUUUCGUCUCUUAUCGGAAUUGGACGUGUGAGUAUUCGAAAUUCAUCUAAUCGGAGAGAUCUUGCUCGUGGUGUCAUUCGUUUUUGAAGAUACUGGAAGAAUUGGUCGCAGUUUCUGUUUCAAUCAGACGGGUCACCCGGUUUUGUUUUCCUAUCGUACCUUCACGAAAAUGACUAUCACCGGAGAUCUAACCGUUGGAUCUCCCUGAAAUUUGGACAAAAUGUUUAGGACAUCUGGGCAUUCAUUAUGACCGGAGAGAUUUUAAAUCAGAGCUACACAUUGACGGGAAUCGAGAUCGGAGCAGAGCAGUACGUGAUAAAAAUGCAAGCAAUUGGAGGUCUUCAAAGGAUUUGCUGAUGAGAAUCUUUUUUUGGUUUUGGGCUCGGGUUGAGUUGUGAGCAUUAAAAUGUUAGAGGUUUUAGGCCUAGACUCUUAUAUUAAUUUAAGAGUUAGUUUAUUCUUUUGGUUAUCAAUUUAAUUUAUUUAUACUAUUUAUUUAUGUUGGUUUUAUCACUUAGAUAAUUAAACGCAUUUCUUGUAGUAGUGACAUUCCCAGAAGACGAUGUUUCCGCCAUCGUCCUAUACUUCUAUUAUUAUUAUUUCUUUAUUUUCUGCUUUAAAA